RNAcentral lists this ribosomal RNA (599 nucleotides) under uncultured bacterium. Its description in RNAcentral is "bacterial SSU rRNA". It matches the Rfam family "Bacterial small subunit ribosomal RNA", at positions 1 to 595 of the family's 1533-position model. The record is from RNAcentral.
UUAGAGUUUGAUCCAUGGCUCAGAUUGAACGCUGGCGGGCAGGCCCUAACCACAUGCAAGUCGAGCGGUAGAGAGAAGCUUGGCUUCUCUUGAGAGCGGCGGACGGGUGAGUAAUGCCUAGGAAUCUGCCUGGUAGUGGGGGAUAACGUUCGGAAACGGACGCUAAUACCGCAUACGUCCUACGGGAGAAAGCAGGGGACCUUCGGGCCUUGCGCUAUCAGAUGAGCCUAGGUCGGAUUAGCUAGUUGGUGGGGUAAUGGCUCACCAAGGCGACGAUCCGUAACUGGUCUGAGAGGAUGAUCAGUCACACUGGAACUGAGACACGGUCCAGACUCCUACGGGAGGCAGCAGUGGGGAAUAUUGGACAAUGGGCGAAAGCCUGAUCCAGCCAUGCCGCGUGUGUGAAGAAGGUCUUCGGAUUGUAAAGCACUUUAAGUUGGGAGGAAGGGUUGUAGAUUAAUACUCUGCAAUUUUGACGUUACCGACAGAAUAAGCACCGGCUAACUCUGUGCCAGCAGCCGCGGUAAUACAGAGGGUGCAAGCGUUAAUCGGAAUUACUGGGCGUAAAGCGCGCGUAGGUGGUUUGUUAAGUUGGAUGU